UUAUAGAUCGUGAUACUGCUCCUGUCCCGUCACGUCUACCCCCAGCAGUACACUCUCCACCACCUCCGCCAGUACACUUGUCAUCUCCGCCAUCGCUACCUCAACCGCCGGUUCAUUUACCGCAACCACCAGUACAGUCACCUCCACUCCCAGUUCAUUCUCCACCUCCACCUGUUCACUUACAACCGUCUCCUGAACACUCACCCCCACCUCCGCCACCAGUGUUCUCACCGCCACCCCCAGUUUACUCACCAGUUCCACCGCCAGUUUACUCACCGACACAACCGCCAGUUUACUCACAGGCGCCUCCGCCUGUUAAUUCACCGCCACGACCGACACUUAACUCACCGACACCACCGCCAGUUUACUCAUAUGUUCCACCGCCAGUUUACUCACCGACACUUAACUCACCAACAUUUAAAUCACCGCCACUUAAGUCACCGGCAACAUUGCCAGUUAACUCUCCGACGCCACCGCCGCAUUUUGAAAACUUCAUUCUCCC
RNAcentral lists this long non-coding RNA (502 nucleotides) under Zostera marina. Its description in RNAcentral is "long non-coding RNA (ZMAR_LNC000797)". The record is from RNAcentral. Lineage: Eukaryota; Viridiplantae; Streptophyta; Magnoliopsida; Alismatales; Zosteraceae.